Molecule: non-coding RNA, 309 nt
Organism: Pimephales promelas (fathead minnow)
Lineage: Eukaryota; Metazoa; Chordata; Actinopteri; Cypriniformes; Leuciscidae
Source: RefSeq, a predicted model, not a curated record
CAGAUGAUAAUGCAGUUGAAAUUAUCCCAACCACUUGGUUGGAGGAAACAAUCAAAGGAACAUUCUGUUACUGGACCUACACAAACUCGAGGCAGUUGGUAAAAAACAAUGCAAUUCCCGACAAGCAAAAGUGGAGGCGGUUCUUGCUGAAAAAGAUUUGGUUAAGAACAGACUCUUAUGCCAGAGCCUCCCAGAAAUACCAGCUUGUUACUGAAACAUCACAUAUUGAAACGGCAACGGAGGACACAACAAGUAAAAAGAGGCCACAUAAAAUUCCAAAGAGAUUUCAGUCUGAAACAGACAUUUCGU